GUUGGGAAUUGGGAAAUACAUUACUUACUGCCCUUUCAACACCAUAAAAGACAAUACAUACAAUAUUAGAAUACAUGAUUUCCAAGUUCGAAGCAAAGGUGUUGGAUGUUCUGGGAACAAUAGAGAAAUGUGUUCAUCGGACGUUGUGAAGAAAGCAGAGACAGCAGACCUCGAAUGUACACACAGAAAGUAGAGCAGCUAUUCAUAUCAGGGGUGAAUUGUCAAAACGAAUUGACUGACCAAUUAUGGAAAAAAAUGCAGCAGUAAAC
This 269-nucleotide unclassified non-coding RNA is filed under the name Hevea brasiliensis (rubber tree). The record is from RNAcentral. Lineage: Eukaryota; Viridiplantae; Streptophyta; Magnoliopsida; Malpighiales; Euphorbiaceae.